GAGUGGGUACCUUGGGUGGGCUUGGUCAGAUUCAGGUUUAAUUCAACCGUGGUGGGCUUGAGGCAUAUGUGAGUAGACUUGGGCUCGAUUUGAGUUAGAAGAACCUGGGCUGGGUUUGGUUUGUGACUGUUUGGGCUGAAUAUGUUCCUUAGCAGAUUGGCCUUGUUUGGUGUUGUCUAGGAUGUCAACGCUUCAAACUCCAUUCGUUAUCUUGUUUCGAGAGGGC
RNAcentral lists this long non-coding RNA (226 nucleotides) under Eucalyptus grandis. Its description in RNAcentral is "long non-coding RNA (EGRA_LNC000379)". Lineage: Eukaryota; Viridiplantae; Streptophyta; Magnoliopsida; Myrtales; Myrtaceae. The record is from RNAcentral.